GUCACUUAACCUCUAUCUGCCUCAGUUUCCUCAUCUAUAAAAUGGGAAUAAUAAUGGCAACUACUUCAUGGGGUUGUUGUCAGGAUCAAAUGAGAUAAUGUUUAUAAAGGGCUAGCAUGAUGCCUGGCAAAGAAGAGUGCACAAUGAAUGAUUAUUUCCUUCCUUCCUACUAGAUAGACACUGGUGGUUCUUUAGGUUCAAAUAUAGGUCCUUCUAUUUAUUAUUUUUACUGUCUUUAUAAUCUUGCCCCUCAACCUAUCUUUACAACUUCAUUGUACCUAAUCCUCCCACAUUCUACAGUCCAUCAAACUUUCUUGCUGUUUUUCACAUAUGGCAAUUGUAUUCCAUAACUAGCUUUAAAAAAAAAAAAAGAAGAACCUUUUUGUCUUCUGCCUUGGAACCAACACUUAGUAUUGAUCUAAGAUGGAAGGUAAAGAUUUUUUUUAAGUUAGUAUAGACAAAGGGAAGAGAAGCAAUCAGAAGAAUAAGGGCCAUUGGCCCUGCUUGUUCUUGUCAGAACCAUCAUUUUCCUGUUGCUCAGGUGACAGGAAGCUGUGACUGAAUGCACCUCACUUGUCCAGCAUGGUCCUGCCUGGAUGCAGACAGACUUGAGUGAGAGAGAGAGAAAAAAGACAGAGACAAGAAGGGGAGAAGAAAUCUAGGGAAAGGGUAAAUCAAGCAGCUUCUACCCUAUCCUUGGAUCCCUUACCUGCUUCCAAAUCUCAUUCAUCCUUCCAGGCUUAGCUUGAAUGAACUCUCAGCUCUUUCCAAAAGCCAUCCCUAACCACCUCAGCCCUCUGCCCUCUCAACUCCCACAUCAGAAGAGUCCACACCACACUCAGCCCUGAGCAGAUGCUGCUUUAGAGGAAAGCAUAUAUAUGCCCCCAGCGAGGGCUGUAAAAAGAGCACAAUGCAUUUGGAGUCAGAGGAGCUAGGGUUCACAUGCUGCCACUUGUGAUCUGUGUGACCUCACAAGGACAGUGUGAGAUCGUUAUAGUGAGCCAGAUGGGGCAUGGACAUCAGUAUUACCAUUUUACAGGUAAGGAAACUGGAGACUCAAACAAGCCAAUGACCGCCAUUCAGAAUUACGGGGCAAGUACAUCAGUCUCAUCUUCAUCCUUCCAUUGGCUCAGUUCCAGCUUAUGA
RNAcentral lists this long non-coding RNA (1146 nucleotides) under Monodelphis domestica (gray short-tailed opossum). RNAcentral's name for it is "lncRNA (ENSMODG00000047796.1)". Lineage: Eukaryota; Metazoa; Chordata; Mammalia; Didelphimorphia; Didelphidae. The record is from RNAcentral.